This 1489-nucleotide long non-coding RNA is filed under the name Fragaria vesca (wild strawberry). Its description in RNAcentral is "long non-coding RNA (FVES_LNC001963)". The record is from RNAcentral. Lineage: Eukaryota; Viridiplantae; Streptophyta; Magnoliopsida; Rosales; Rosaceae.
UCUUUUCUUCAUCACUCUAGAUUUACGACUUAAAACUUCGACGGAUCAUAACUUUUAAUCCGUAACUCCUAUUCUGAAUCCAUAAAGUGCUACGGGUUCGUCUCGAUGUCCUUUUUCUAUCCUAAAAGUUUGAACUAGAUCCAACGGUGAUUUUUAGAUGGCUCGUUUUAGGAGGCUCGGUAUACGAUCAGUACUCGUGGUACGAUUUCGAUUUGUGUAAUAUGUUUCAAAUAUUCUUAUUUGCUAUCAAAUUAGUCGAAAAACAUGAUUUUGAUCUAUUUACGAAAUAUCUCUCUAUUUUAAAGUGAAGCAUGCAUGUCGAUUUGUGAAAUAUGCGGUGUUUAUAUAUAUGUAUGUGUUGGAUCUAUUGUUUGAUUAGUCAUGGAACAUGUGAAUUUCUUGAUUGGUUAUGCCGAAGUAAGGAUGUGACACACGGAGGUAUAGGACAUGAAAGUCAUUAGGUUCCCGUGGGGAUCACUAAAUUGAAGGAUAUCCAAUAAGAAAAGAUUGUGCGAUGUGAUGAAUUGCGUGAAGUGAUGUGUAUACGAUAUACGUAUUUUGUAGCGUGUGUAAAAUGACAUGGCUUUGCGGGCAUAUUACAUUGGUCUACUCACUAAGCGCGUGGUUAUGCUCACCCAUCCAUUUCUGAUAUUUUUUGCAGAGAAGUACUUAGAUUUGAUCGAGCGGGAAAUGGUAGCCGACGAGCCUAAAAGAUAGUGUUUUUGUUUUAUUCUGCUUUGUAACACUCAUUCAUGUCUCGGGAUCGACGUCCGGUGCUUAAAACCCACCGAUGUCGGGACCGGGGUGUGACAGCCUUAGAGAACGAUAGAAGACUUCUCGUGCGAGGUUCCACCGUCAAUGCCUGAGAAGACAUGGCUUCUAUGAGCGUUCACUGUUGGAAUUGAAGCCGAUUGCUUGGUCGGGGGAGCAGAAUGCUCGCCGCCGCUGUGGUCUCAAAGCCUAGGUUUCACGACUUAAGGUUGCUUUGCAUAAGGCGCAUGCGCAGCAUUUUCAUCCUCCUCUUGUCGAAUCAGUAUGCGCUCGUUCAUUCCUUAGAAGUUGGAGAUGACCACCGCGAACGACACCACGUCCUAGCUGGUGACCACACAUAUAGAAGGAUAGAAGGAGUAGUAAAUGGCAUCUUCUCUUCCAACAAGCCUCACCAGGACCUCAUCUAAUAUUGUGGAGGCAUAAUCACCGCCGCCAUCACGUUGUAUUGCUUGAUCAAUUGUUCGGCUAAAGAAAUCCUAGCAGAGUCAAGUCGACAUUUUAUCUUGUGAUGAUAUGAUAUAUUUGAAUUAAGACUACCGAAAACUUGUUGCUACAUUGAAUUGGUAAAAUGGACUUAAUUUUUGGAAAUGGACACUUUUAAUGUGAGAAAUUUUUCAUGGUGGCAUAAAUCCCCAUGCUAAGAUUUUUUUUUUCAACAAUAUGUGAGUAAAAGCCAGAUUUGAUGGUUGUUGUUUUUCAGUUGAAGCUGUUUGCAGGC